This 856-nucleotide ribosomal RNA is filed under the name Pyrenophora dictyoides. Its description in RNAcentral is "partial large subunit ribosomal RNA". It matches the Rfam family "Eukaryotic large subunit ribosomal RNA", at positions 65 to 939 of the family's 3401-position model. The record is from RNAcentral. RNAcentral also lists the same sequence under 1 other name. Lineage: Eukaryota; Fungi; Ascomycota; Dothideomycetes; Pleosporales; Pleosporaceae.
ACAACAGGGAUUGCCCUAGUAACGGCGAGUGAAGCGGCAACAGCUCAAAUUUGAAAUCUGGCUCUUUUAGAGUCCGAGUUGUAAUUUGCAGAGGGCGCUUUGGCUUUGGCAGCGGUCCAAGUUCCUUGGAACAGGACGUCACAGAGGGUGAGAAUCCCGUACGUGGUCGCUAGCUAUUGCCGUGUAAAGCCCCUUCGACGAGUCGAGUUGUUUGGGAAUGCAGCUCUAAAUGGGAGGUAAAUUUCUUCUAAAGCUAAAUAUUGGCCAGAGACCGAUAGCGCACAAGUAGAGUGAUCGAAAGAUGAAAAGCACUUUGGAAAGAGAGUCAAACAGCACGUGAAAUUGUUGAAAGGGAAGCGCUUGCAGCCAGACUUGCUUGCAGUUGCUCAUCCGGGCUUUUGCCCGGUGCACUCUUCUGCAGGCAGGCCAGCAUCAGUUUGGGCGGUGGGAUAAAGGUCUCUGUCACGUACCUCCUUUCGGGGAGGCCUUAUAGGGGAGGCGACAUACCACCAGCCUGGACUGAGGUCCGCGCAUUCGCUAGGAUGCUGGCGUAAUGGCUGUAAGCGGCCCGUCUUGAAACACGGACCAAGGAGUCUAACAUCUAUGCGAGUGUUUGGGUGUCAAGCCCGAACGCGUAAUGAAAGUGAACGGAGGUGGGAACCCGCAAGGGUGCACCAUCGACCGAUCCUGAUGUCUUCGGAAGGAUUUGAGUAAGAGCAUGGCUGUUGGGACCCGAAAGAUGGUGAACUAUGCUUGAAUAGGGUGAAGCCAGAGGAAACUCUGGUGGAGGCUCGCAGCGGUUCUGACGUGCAAAUCGAUCGUCAAAUUUGGGCAUAGGGGCGAAAGACUAAUCGAA